UACGGAGGGUGCGAGCGUUAAUCGGAAUUACUGGGCGUAAAGCGCACGCAGGCGGUUUGUUAAGCUAGAUGUGAAAGCCCCGGGCUCAACCUGGGAUGGUCAUUUAGAACUGGCAGACUAGAGUCUUGGAGAGGGGAGUGGAAUUCCAGGUGUAGCGGUGAAAUGCGUAGAUAUCUGGAGGAACAUCAGUGGCGAAGGCGACUCCCUGGCCAAGGACUGACGCUCAUGUGCGAAAGUGUGGGGAGCGAACAGG
Molecule: ribosomal RNA, 253 nt
Filed under: uncultured bacterium
Lineage: Bacteria
Description: partial 16S ribosomal RNA
Rfam family: Bacterial small subunit ribosomal RNA
Source: RNAcentral